AGAUUAUCUAAUUUGCAAACAGGCAUAUGCUUGGGGCACCAAAAAGGAAAAAGAAAAAUUUUAAUAUAUUAUUUUAGAAAGUAUUAAAUAAGUAAUUAUUACAUUAGUUAUAAUAAAAUAAUUAUUAAAGGAAAAGUAAAAACGUUGACUUUCUUUUAUUGUUUAGUAUUUUUAUUUUAGAUUACACAUGAGUGAAGUGAGGGAUGUGGUUAACCACUUUUAAGCUUAGGGUUGCUUCAGCUCUAAGUGGCCAUGAUUUUAUGAUAACUAACUUUGGAAAACUUUACAUAUGUGUGCAUAUAUAUCAAACAUUCAGAUAUGUGGAGAAAACAAUCUGGAUAAAUAUACCUCAACUGAAGAAUGGGUAGAUCUCUGAAUGAGAGCGUUUUGAUUUCUACGUUGUGUAUCUGUGUAACUUGGCGACUUGUUUACAAUGCCUAUGAGUUAACUUUUUUUAACUGAGAAAACAAGAUUAAGAUCAAAAUAAAACAAAAAUGCUGGCAGUGGAUAGUUAGGUCCCAUCCGGAAAUAUGACCCAUGCGCUGUGCGGCUGAGUGGUCUCACCUCUGCUUUAGGCUACUGAGUUGUCAGAUGUAGCGAUGAGAUCUUCCCUGCCAGGCUGACCUGCACGCGCACCUUGCUUCAUGCAGUGCCCUUUGGUUCCUCUGUGCUCCACUGCUGCCACCUGUGACUUCUGGCAACACCCUGCCUGUCCUUCUGGUCCUCCUGGGCUCAUUAGGCAUUCAUUUGACUAUUAAUAUUCCAAACUCUGAGCUAAGUGCAUGUGCUUGAAAUCUCAGCUACGGGGGACACUGAGACAGGAGGCUUGCUGGAGCCCAGGAGUUUGAUGCCAGCCUGGAUAACAUGUUUGUCCUGACCCCUGGAACUGACACUACCUCCAAGUCUAAUAAAACCCACUUAUUUUUCCUAUGAAAA
Molecule: non-coding RNA, 936 nt
Organism: Heterocephalus glaber (naked mole-rat)
Lineage: Eukaryota; Metazoa; Chordata; Mammalia; Rodentia; Bathyergidae
Source: RefSeq, a predicted model, not a curated record